RNAcentral lists this ribosomal RNA (788 nucleotides) under uncultured Lactobacillus sp. Its description in RNAcentral is "bacterial SSU rRNA". It matches the Rfam family "Bacterial small subunit ribosomal RNA", at positions 28 to 776 of the family's 1533-position model. Lineage: Bacteria; Bacillati; Bacillota; Bacilli; Lactobacillales; Lactobacillaceae. The record is from RNAcentral.
GACGAACGCUGGCGGCGUGCCUAAUACAUGCAAGUCGAGCGAGCUUGCCUAGAUGAAUUUGGUGCUUGCACCAAAUGAAACUAGAUACAAGCGAGCGGCGGACGGGUGAGUAACACGUGGGUAACCUGCCCAAGAGACUGGGAUAACACCUGGAAACAGAUGCUAAUACCGGAUAACAACACUAGACGCAUGUCUAGAGUUUAAAAGAUGGUUCUGCUAUCACUCUUGGAUGGACCUGCGGUGCAUUAGCUAGUUGGUAAGGUAACGGCUUACCAAGGCAAUGAUGCAUAGCCGAGUUGAGAGACUGAUCGGCCACAUUGGGACUGAGACACGGCCCAAACUCCUACGGGAGGCAGCAGUAGGGAAUCUUCCACAAUGGACGCAAGUCUGAUGGAGCAACGCCGCGUGAGUGAAGAAGGGUUUCGGCUCGUAAAGCUCUGUUGGUAGUGAAGAAAGAUAGAGGUAGUAACUGGCCUUUAUUUGACGGUAAUUACUUAGAAAGUCACGGCUAACUACGUGCCAGCAGCCGCGGUAAUACGUAGGUGGCAAGCGUUGUCCGGAUUUAUUGGGCGUAAAGCGAGUGCAGGCGGUUCAAUAAGUCUGAUGUGAAAGCCUUCGGCUCAACCGGAGAAUUGCAUCAGAAACUGUUGAACUUGAGUGCAGAAGAGGAGAGUGGAACUCCAUGUGUAGCGGUGGAAUGCGUAGAUAUAUGGAAGAACACCAGUGGCGAAGGCGGUUCUCUGGUCUGCAACUGACGCUGAGGCUCGAAAGCAUGGGUAGCGAACAGG